GGUUUGAUAAGAACUAAAAAUUAUCUCCUUAAAAAUAUAACAAAAAUAAAAAAUAGUGAGUAUAAUAAUGUAUAGUUAUGGAGAAUUUAAGCAAGAUUGCGAUUAGACGUCUUUUGAUUGGCUAAAAGCAAUUUUGUCUAUUGACAUAAUUUCGUCAUGUGACAGUGACGUAAUCAACUUUUUUCAUGAUCUACUCCUACGCGGGUCAUUCAGUGUGCACCACAUUUGUUAUGUAAUUUCUUCAUAGAAAAACAAGAUAUUACAGUCUUUCCUUAAAUAAUUAUGGAAAAAUUAACCAAAGUUUAAGAACAAUCAAUAUUCAUCUAAACUUCUUAAUCCCAGUUAGAUCUGAUAGCGCUGCUAGUUCCAUGAAUACCAAUGAUGUAGAUUAAUCCAGGCUAAUAUUUUCUCCAUAGUCUUGAUAAAUAAGCCAUACUUGGAAUAUCUGUGCAAAAUAUCGAGAAUAUCGAUAAUCCGGAUUUCACUGUUAACCACAAAAUUGACCAUGUCACGGUACAUUGAUUGAUUGCUUUGAGUUUGUCGAGUAUAAACCACGUG
Molecule: long non-coding RNA, 558 nt
Filed under: Mytilus galloprovincialis (Mediterranean mussel)
Lineage: Eukaryota; Metazoa; Mollusca; Bivalvia; Mytilida; Mytilidae
Source: RNAcentral